UACGGAAGGUCCUGGCGUUAUCCGGAUUUAUUGGGUUUAAAGGGAGCGUAGGCGGGAUGCUAAGCGUGCUGUGAAAUACCGCGGCUCAACCGUGGGAGUGCAGCGCGAACUGGCUUCCUUGAGUAGGCGGAAGGUACGCGGAAUUCGUGGUGUAGCGGUGAAAUGCUUAGAUAUCACGAGGAACCCCGAUUGCGAAGGCAGCGUGCCGCAGCCUGACUGACGCUGAAGCUCGAAGGUGCGGGUAU
Molecule: ribosomal RNA, 245 nt
Filed under: uncultured Prevotella sp.
Lineage: Bacteria; Pseudomonadati; Bacteroidota; Bacteroidia; Bacteroidales; Prevotellaceae
Description: partial 16S ribosomal RNA
Rfam family: Bacterial small subunit ribosomal RNA
Source: RNAcentral